Molecule: ribosomal RNA, 199 nt
Filed under: uncultured bacterium
Lineage: Bacteria
Description: partial 16S ribosomal RNA
Rfam family: Bacterial small subunit ribosomal RNA
Source: RNAcentral
GGCUGAAAUUCGCCUUCACGAAGUCGGAAUUGCUAGUAAUGGCAGGUCAGCAUACUGCCGUGAAUACGUUCCCGGGCCUUGUACACACCGCCCGUCACACCAUGAGAGUUAGGAAUACCCGAAGCCUGUGAGCCAACUUUAUAAGAGGCAGCAGUCGAAGGUAGAACUAAUGAUUGGGGUGAAGUCGUAACAAGGUAAC